RNAcentral lists this long non-coding RNA (210 nucleotides) under Homo sapiens (human). RNAcentral's name for it is "non-protein coding lnc-RGS9-3:2". Lineage: Eukaryota; Metazoa; Chordata; Mammalia; Primates; Hominidae. The record is from RNAcentral.
GAGCCACACAUCUCCCCACACCAAGCUCCUCCAUACAAGACCUCGGACUGCAUCACGUAAAUGCUUUUUCAGGGGCAAAAUCUAGAGAAUCUGAAACAAGCUAUCAGCUUCCCAGUUUGCACAAUUCAUCAAGAAAUUAUGCGGGGUCACUGGCACAAAUGAUGAGGCAUCUCCUGGAAGCUUAACUUCUUAUCCAUCCCAUCUCUUGGA